AACUACUCAACCUGUGGUACUUUGUUAUGGCAGCCCUAGCAAACUAAUACAAUCAGUCUGUCAAGAUCUGUAUCUUCUCCCUAAACACAAAUGUGGCCUGACAGGUUCCAUGGUCCCUUAGUGUCCUGUGAUCCACAUCCCACAUCAUGCUGAUAGUGUCUAGAAUCCCCAAAUACUUUAUCAUCCUCUCUUGCAGCAUAUGUCUCGCACAAGCUCCUGAGCGUAUUUACUUCUAAACAGUACUCUCCCCAAAACAUUUUCAAUGUAUCCUUUCGUAAGACAAAAUUUUGAGAACUUACAAACCUGAGAAUAUUUUUAUUACCCCUCACAAUCGAAUGGGAAUUUUAUUAGACGUAAAACUUUAUAUUCAAUGUGAUUUUCUAUCAAUAUAUUAAAAGUACUGCUUCACUGUCUUUUCACAUCAUGUUGCUGUGAAGGAGUCUGAAACCAAUCUGAUUCUUGUUUAUUUUAGGUCAUCUUCACUUUCUGGAAGCUUGUAGAACUUUUUCUUUGUACGUGAUGUUCUUAGAUAUUAUAUGUAGGGAUUAAUUUGAGGGAAGAGGGCAUCAUCUUUGUUGGAACCAGAAAUCUUCCUACACAGGGUGAGUACAUGAAAUUGGAC
This is a long non-coding RNA of Sapajus apella (tufted capuchin), 622 nucleotides long. RefSeq lists it as uncharacterized. The record is from RefSeq and is a predicted model, not a curated record. The transcript has 3 exons. Lineage: Eukaryota; Metazoa; Chordata; Mammalia; Primates; Cebidae.